This 290-nucleotide long non-coding RNA is filed under the name Homo sapiens (human). RNAcentral's name for it is "non-protein coding lnc-ZDHHC1-2:1". Lineage: Eukaryota; Metazoa; Chordata; Mammalia; Primates; Hominidae. The record is from RNAcentral.
GUCAAGAACGUGGCCGAUUACUACCCGAGUACAAGCUGCUCUUCGAGGGUGCAGGUAGCAACCCUGGAGACAAGACGCUGGAGGACCGAUUCUUUGAGCACGAGUAAAGCUGAACAAGUUGGCCUUCCUGAACCAGUUCCACUUUGGUGUCUUCUAUGCCUUCGUGAAGCUCAAGGAGCAGGAGUGUCGCAACAUCGUGUGGAUCGCUGAAUGUAUCGCCCAGCGCCACCGCGCCAAAAUCGACAACUACAUCCCUAUCUUCUAGCGUCCUGGCCCAAGGCUCUCAAUUG